GAGCUCAGAGCGGGAGCGGCCAGGAACCCGGGCUUCUGCUGCGGAAGGCUCGGUGCUCCGCGUCAGGGCCCGGGAGGGGGACCUUCAUACAGCCAGAUACCCAGAAUUGGGGGAUCCCAGGUCCCAGACGGCGGGGGACACGUCUGGGGCAGUUGAACAAUUCCGCGCGGCUAGCAGAACUGAGGAGAGAGGUGGCGGCGCGUCUCUACACCGCAGGUCGCCGCGGCGCGGGUCGGGAGUACAACCGCCGCCCCUCCUCUCCUGAUUGCGGGGCUGCGCCCGGGACCCCGGCGGUUCACCCCGCCCCGCCGCCCCUCACAACAUCUCCCGCUGCAAAUGGCCCAAUCAGAAAACGUGACGAGAGAACGCCAGCCAAUCAGAGGCUGCUGACUCAGGCUUCCCUCCACCCUUUGCCCCGCCCCAGUAGGAAAACCCACCCACCCUCGGUCUCCCCUUCCUACCCCGCCCCCCUCCGGGGAGGUGGCUCACAGCUCCUGUCCUCGUGGGGCAGAAGUGGAGGACCCCGCCGAGGCGGCGCGGUUUGUCACCUCACACUUAUCCUCGUCUCCUCCCAGACACACCCCUCCUCAUUUUCUCAGUCCUCCUGCUGGUGCCGUUGAGGGUCAUUUUUUUUCCUCGUGCCAGCGGGGGACUGCCAGCUAUUGUGUCGGAUCAGCUGCCACCACCCUUCGGCGGGGGGGUGGGGGGGGGAAUCCAGAAGCUUUGGGGUCUUACCUUUUCCUUUCUUUCUUACCACUCUGCCCCAAAAGAUUUAGACACCUCCGCACUCCACCCACCCCGCCCUCCCCACGCAGCUCUCAAUUCGCUGCCUGGGUCCUGUUUUUUGUUGAGAAAAAACAAAAACUACUCCCUGGAGCCUGAAUACCUGUGCCUUCGUUUUUA
This 903-nucleotide long non-coding RNA is filed under the name Sus scrofa (pig). Its description in RNAcentral is "lncRNA (ENSSSCG00035076421.1)". Lineage: Eukaryota; Metazoa; Chordata; Mammalia; Artiodactyla; Suidae. The record is from RNAcentral.